AAUGAACGUUGGCGGCGUGGAUUAGGCAUGCAAGUCGAGCGAGAACCGUAGCAAUACGGGGACAGCGGCGCAAGGGAGAGUAAUACGUGGAUACCUACCCUCGGGUCCGGGAUAGCUGCGGGAAACUGCAGGUAAUACCGGAUGACAUCUCCGGAUCAAAGGUGUGAUUCCGCCCGGGGAGGGGUCCGCGUCCUAUUAGCUAGUUGGUGAGGUAACGGCUCACCAAGGCUGUGAUGGGUACGGGGUGUGAGAGCAUGCCCCCGCUCACUGGGACUGGGGCACUGCCCAGACACCUACGGGUGGCUGCAGUCGAGAAUCUUCGGCAAUGGGCGCAAGCCUGACCGAGCGACGCCGCGUGCGAGAUGAAGGCCUUCGGGUUGUAAAUCGCUGUCAGAGGGGAGGAAAUGCCGGUGGGUUCUCUCAUCGGUUUGACCUAUCCUCAGAGGAAGGACGGGCUAAGUUCGUGCCAGCAGCCGCCGUAA
RNAcentral lists this ribosomal RNA (482 nucleotides) under uncultured bacterium. RNAcentral describes it as "partial 16S ribosomal RNA". It matches the Rfam family "Bacterial small subunit ribosomal RNA", at positions 28 to 523 of the family's 1533-position model. The record is from RNAcentral.